Molecule: long non-coding RNA, 230 nt
Filed under: Felis catus (domestic cat)
Lineage: Eukaryota; Metazoa; Chordata; Mammalia; Carnivora; Felidae
Description: lncRNA (ENSFCAG00000042809.2)
Source: RNAcentral
CCCCAGCAACAGCAUCUCACUUCCCAGGUUGUCCCCGGGCUGCCUCUGCAGCAAUCCCACUAGAGCUGCCUUUCACCCAGCUAAGAAGUGCUGAUUCCUUAAGCAAAGGAGCCACCGGAAUAAAAGUGUGCAACCAGUGUGACGGGAGAAUGGAAUGAGAUGGUCAGCACUUGACAUCUACAGGGAAAUGUCCCACUAAAGAACUUGAUAUCAGCAACGAAGGGAAAUGA